GUCUCAGAAAAACCAGCACGUGUGCUAACACUGGAACGAGACAGAGAAGAUUCCUCACAGCCUCUGCACAAGGAUGACACACAAAUCUGUGAAGCGAUCCAUAUUUCU
Molecule: small nuclear RNA, 108 nt
Organism: Fukomys damarensis (Damara mole-rat)
Lineage: Eukaryota; Metazoa; Chordata; Mammalia; Rodentia; Bathyergidae
Source: Ensembl